AAGCAGAGGGGGCUUAGUGGUGGGGUGACUGCGUACCUUUUGUAUAAUGGGUCAGCGACUUAUAUUCUGUAGCAAGGUUAACCGAAUAGGGGAGCCGGAGGGAAACCGAGUCUUAAC
This 117-nucleotide ribosomal RNA is filed under the name Salmonella enterica. Its description in RNAcentral is "partial 23S ribosomal RNA". It matches the Rfam family "Bacterial large subunit ribosomal RNA", at positions 568 to 688 of the family's 2925-position model. Lineage: Bacteria; Pseudomonadati; Pseudomonadota; Gammaproteobacteria; Enterobacterales; Enterobacteriaceae. RNAcentral also lists the same sequence under 2 other names. The record is from RNAcentral.